UACGAAGGGUGCAAGCGUUACGUCGGAAUUACUGGGCGUAAAGCGUGCGUAGGUGGUUUGUUAAGUCUGCUGGUGAAAGCCCCGGGCUCAACCUGGGAAUGGCAGUGGAUACUGGCAAGCUAGAGUGCGGUAGAGGGGUGUGGAAUUCCCGGUGUAGCGGUGAAAUGCGUAGAGAGUCGGGAGGAACACCAACGGCGAAGGCAGCUCGCUGGGACGGUACUGACACUGAGGCGCGAAAGCGUGGGGAGCGAAC
Molecule: ribosomal RNA, 253 nt
Filed under: uncultured bacterium
Lineage: Bacteria
Description: partial 16S ribosomal RNA
Rfam family: Bacterial small subunit ribosomal RNA
Source: RNAcentral